This 819-nucleotide ribosomal RNA is filed under the name uncultured fungus. Its description in RNAcentral is "LSU rRNA". It matches the Rfam family "Eukaryotic large subunit ribosomal RNA", at positions 81 to 948 of the family's 3401-position model. The record is from RNAcentral. Lineage: Eukaryota; Fungi.
UAGUAACUGCGAGUGAAGCGGGACCGGCUCAAUGUGUGAAUCUGGCUUGGGGUAAACCCCUGUCCGAGUUGUGCACUAUGGACGUUUCGUCUGCGUAUGUAACGGCGGUGGAAGUCCGUUGAAACACGGCACCUCAGAGGGUCACAGUCCUGUACCACCUGCCUGCACUCGCGCCAAUGACAAGCGCUCCUCGAGUCGCGUAGUUUUGUAAUGCUGCGCCAAGUGGGAGGUAGAGACCUUCUAAGGCUAAAUAUGAUGACGUGACCGAUAGCACACAAGUACCGCGAGGGAAAGGUGAAAAGCAACCAUGAAAAAUGGGUUGAAACAGUAGUGAAAGCGCUACCGGGAUAAGGGCUAUCGGGUGCUGGGGCUCUUUGCCUCCGCUUCAGUGCUACCCUUGGAGACGGCCCGCGUGGGUUGAUGUUGGGGCGAUAGACGCGCCGUUGGAAUUCAGCUGUCUUCGGGCAGUGUUGUAGCCUUCGGUUGCCGAUCCUCCUGCGACCUUUUGUAAUUGCGGGUCUUGCGACCGUUAGCCGCCCGUCUUGAAACACGGACCAAGGAGUGCACCUUGCAUGCGAGUCGAAGGGAUUUGAAACCUGGAGGCGUAGCGAACGCGACGAUGGGGAAUGUCCUUGUGGCAGACACCCGCACCCGCCUUGUGCGAGGUAGAGCAUGUACGGUGCGACCCGAAAGAUGGUGAACUAUGCCCGGGUAAGGUGAAGCCAGUGGAAACGCUGGUGGAGGCCUGUAGCGAUUCUGACGUGCAAAUCGAUCGCGUAACCUGGGUAUAGGGGCGAAAGACCUAUCGAACCGUCUAAU